UCCUGACCUCAGGUGAUCCACCCACCUCGGCCUCCCAAAGUUUGCAAACGAUGCAUCCAACAAAGGGCUAAUAUCCAGAAUCUACAAGGAACUCAAACAAACCAGCCAGAAAAAUAAAUAAUCCCAUCAAAAAGUAGGCAAAUGACAUGAAUAGACAUUUCUCAAAAGAAGAUAUACAAAUGGCCAGCAAAUAUAUGAAGAAAUGCUCAACAUUACUAAUCAUUAGGGAAAUGCAAAUUAAAAUCACAAAGAGAUACCACCUUACCCCAGCCAGACCAC
RNAcentral lists this long non-coding RNA (279 nucleotides) under Homo sapiens (human). RNAcentral's name for it is "non-protein coding lnc-PRPF18-9:2". The record is from RNAcentral. Lineage: Eukaryota; Metazoa; Chordata; Mammalia; Primates; Hominidae.